UGCUGACAGCACCUUCCUAAGGGCUUGCAUUUGAAAUGGAAUCUCAGGCUAAUCUCUGCCAGCCACCUUUCUGACAUAAACUCAUUUCUUGUCCCAGAUCUACAAGGGCUUUGUCACCAAACCUGCUGCAGCAGCAGCAUGGUCUAAAGGAGCCUUUGCUCUCCACCCUGAGAAGCGGAGCCGGGGCGGUUUGCUCAUCUCCAGUGCUGACCCAGCUGCUGCUCAGCAACAGGAGAUCAAGGAUGACUCCCUGGAGCUACGGAGGAAAAUAGUGAACAUGGAAAAUCCUGUGAUGAAAUACACGGAACUGGAACAUAUUGGCAGAGGGACUUUUGGAGAUGUUUGCAUAGCACUUGACAAUGCCACAGGAG
Long non-coding RNA from Vidua macroura (Pin-tailed whydah), 371 nucleotides. RefSeq lists it as uncharacterized. The record is from RefSeq and is a predicted model, not a curated record. NCBI's taxonomy places the organism in Eukaryota, Metazoa, Chordata, Aves, Passeriformes, Viduidae. The transcript is spliced from 3 exons.